GAGACCCCAGGUCAGGCGGGAUUACCCGCUG
RNAcentral lists this ribosomal RNA (31 nucleotides) under Cybianthus quelchii. Its description in RNAcentral is "partial 26S ribosomal RNA". Lineage: Eukaryota; Viridiplantae; Streptophyta; Magnoliopsida; Ericales; Primulaceae. The record is from RNAcentral.